UGAACGCGAAGAACCUUACCAGGUCUUGACAUCCUCUGACAAUCCUAGAGAUAGGACGUCCCCUUCGGGGGCAGAGUGACAGGUGGUGCAUGGUUGUCGUCAGCUCGUGUCGUGAGAUGUUGGGUUAAGUCCCGCAACGAGCGCAACCCUUGAUCUUAGUUGCCAGCAUUCAGUUGGGCACUCUAAGGUGACUGCCGGUGACAAACCGGAGGAAGGUGGGGAUGACGUCAAAUCAUCAUGCCCCUUAUGACCUGGGCUACACACGUGCUACAAUGGACAGAACAAAGGGUAGCGAAACCGCGAGGUUAAGCCAAUCCCACAAAUCUGUUCUCAGUUCGGAUCGCAGUCUGCAACUCGACUGCGUGAAGCUGGAAUCGCUAGUAAUCGCGGAUCAGCAUGCCGCGGUGAAUACGUUCCCGGGUCUUGUACACACGCA
This 436-nucleotide ribosomal RNA is filed under the name bacterium CPTAC12C. RNAcentral's name for it is "bacterial SSU rRNA". It matches the Rfam family "Bacterial small subunit ribosomal RNA", at positions 956 to 1394 of the family's 1533-position model. The record is from RNAcentral.